UACGUAGGGGGCAAGCGUUGUCCGGAAUUAUUGGGCGUAAAGAGCGUGUAGGCGGUCCGGUAAGUCAGCUGUGAAAGUCAAGGGCUCAACCCUUGAAAGCCGGUUGAUACUGUCGGGCUAGAGUCCGGAAGAGGAGAGUGGAAUUCCUGGUGUAGCGGUGAAAUGCGCAGAUAUCAGGAAGAACACCCGUGGCUAAGGCGGCUCUCUAGUACGGUACUGACGCUGAGACGCGAAAGCGUGGGGAGCGAACAGG
RNAcentral lists this ribosomal RNA (253 nucleotides) under uncultured bacterium. RNAcentral describes it as "partial 16S ribosomal RNA". It matches the Rfam family "Bacterial small subunit ribosomal RNA", at positions 524 to 776 of the family's 1533-position model. The record is from RNAcentral.